GACGUAGGGCGCGAGCGUUAUCCGGAAUUAUUGGGCGUAAAGCGUCCGUAGGCGGCCAACUAAGUCAGACGUGAAAUCCCUCGGCUUAACCGGGGAACUGCGUCUGAUACUGGAUGGCUUGAGUUCGGGAGAGGGAUGCGGAAUUCCAGGUGUAGCGGUGAAAUGCGUAGAUAUCUGGAGGAACACCGGUGGCGAAGGCGGCAUCCUGGACCGAUACUGACGCUGAGGAGCGAAAGCCAGGGGAGCAAACGGG
This 253-nucleotide ribosomal RNA is filed under the name uncultured bacterium. Its description in RNAcentral is "partial 16S ribosomal RNA". It matches the Rfam family "Bacterial small subunit ribosomal RNA", at positions 524 to 776 of the family's 1533-position model. The record is from RNAcentral.